UUUGGUCUUUUACUUCAUUUCUGAAUUCUUCCUUGCCCCACCGUUUCAGUCUGUCGACCCACCUGAUUUCUGGAUGCUUCCCCACCGUGUGACGCUGUAAAUUGUUUCUCCAAAUAGUUUACCCAAACCACCGCCAUCACUGAUUCAUCCAAAUCCAUGAAUUCGCAUAAUCGAGCCGAAUAACCAGUCAACAACGCAGAGCUCUCUUUGUCCACGGCAACCCAUCGGUCCACCUCAACGCCGCGUGUGCAACAACUAGCGCAAUCCCAACCAGCAGCGGCACCCAAACAUUCACCGUCGCCUGUGAAGAAUAGCAGUAGAAUCCAUUUUGCUAAAGAUAAGCAAUUUAUCCUAAUUUAGAAUUCUAAAGUUCUUUACAAAAGUAGUUUAUCUUCUCAAACACAAUGGAAAUUGGUAAGUUAUACGGUAUAAAAAAUCUAAUAAAAUCCGAACAAGAAUUUAGGUCUGGGUAUUAAGGUUUAUUUUUGGUUGUGAAAAUCCGCAAAAAACACAACUCAGAAACAACAAUUGAUAAAAUAUCGAACCCAACGUACCCAGAUGAGAUUUUAAAUUUUAACUUAUUCUUUUGAUUUUUUUUGUUGUAUUUUAAUUGCAGGGGAUGAGCAAGCUGUUGUUUGGUUUUGGCCGGAGAAAGGGAAGCCAUAUGAAUGCCCAGUCCAACUUUUCAACAUAAUACAACUAGGCAAGACGCAUAAUACACUCUGAAUCGGAAGGAGAAGAAGAAACGGUUACAGUGUGUCAAAGUUUGUUACUUUUUGGUGGCCUAAACGUUUUCCAAAAUUGUUAGAAGUUGGGCAUCAAAAAAGUUCAUGACAGGAUGGUGGGCAUUUCUUUCUUCUGGCUCCUAUUUCGUUCAAAUCAUGUUCAUAUGCAAUACUAUUUUCUGUUUGAUACUGUGUUUGUAAACCAUCAAUUCCAUGUUGUGGGAGGGUCAAAUAUCUUUAAAGUUGGUGGAUUUCUGAUUAUUCUUAAGAUUUAGAGUUGAAAGAUGGAAUGCCUUAGUAGUAAUAGGAACUUAAACUUAGAUUGUUGGCAUGCUUUAGUAGAAGUAUAUUACAAAGUUAGCUAAGACAGAACUAGCCUUUUGCCAGAUGAAUUCAAGAAAUGUACAACUUAGCUUGUUACAAGUUUUAGACUGAACCCAUUUCAUAUAAUUUUACGCUAAUGUCAUA
Molecule: non-coding RNA, 1193 nt
Organism: Malus domestica (apple)
Lineage: Eukaryota; Viridiplantae; Streptophyta; Magnoliopsida; Rosales; Rosaceae
Source: RefSeq, a predicted model, not a curated record